The sequence is a ribosomal RNA, 354 nucleotides long. It matches the Rfam family "Bacterial small subunit ribosomal RNA", at positions 1048 to 1408 of the family's 1533-position model.
GUUGUCGUCAGCUCGUGUCGUGGGAUGUUGGGUUAAGUCCCGCAACGAGCGCAACCCUUGUCAUUAGUUGCUACGAAAGGGCACUCUAAUGAGACUGCCGGUGACAAACCGGAGGAAGGUGGGGAAGACGUCAGGUCCUCAUGGCCCUUAUGGGUAGGGCUACACACGUCAUACAAUGGCCGGUACAGAGGGCUGCCAACCCGCGAGGGGGAGCCAAUCCCAGAAAACCGGUCGUAGUCCGGAUCGCAGUCUGCAACUCGACUGCGUGAAGUCGGAAUCGCUAGUAAUCGCGGAUCAGCUUGCCGCGGUGAAUACGUUCCCGGGUCUUGUACACACCGCCCGUCACACCAUGGG